This 720-nucleotide small RNA is filed under the name Arabidopsis thaliana (thale cress). Its description in RNAcentral is "ATSL163880". The record is from RNAcentral. Lineage: Eukaryota; Viridiplantae; Streptophyta; Magnoliopsida; Brassicales; Brassicaceae.
AAAGAAAAAAACCGAAAACAAAGAGGGAUGCAACACGAAGACUUUCCUGGAGGUCACCUAUCCUAGUACUACUCUCGCCCAAGCACACUUAACUGUGGUGUUCUGAUAGGAUCAAGUGCAUUAGUGCUGGUAUGAUCGCAUCAGUUACUACAUGCAAUGCAAUCGUAUCUAUUAUUUUUUGAAGACUUUAUGAUCCAUUUGCCGUGGGUCCCACCAGCUAUGUAGGAAUACCCAAUCUUGUUUAUAAGAGCUUUGAUACAUCCAAAAUAUUCGAAAACAAUGUUGGAACGUAUAAGUUUUGCCCAGUAAUAUAGCAAAGAUCACGAAAAGGCCACAAAAAGUACAUUAAGGUAAAAAUUUAGAGUAGGAAACAAAAACAAUAGGAGAAUUCCAUUUUCCUUCCUCAAUCAUCGGAGAGUUCUUUUUGGGCUUUCCAAAAAGGUAUCACAUGCCAAGUUUGGCCUCACGGUCUAAAAGUUAUAGAGUCAUACAUUUUUAACAAAAAAGAGGGAUUUAACACGAGGACUUUCCGAGAGGUAACCCAUCCUAGUAGUACACUCGCCCAAGCACCCUUAACUACGGAGUUCUAAUGGGAUACGGUGCAUUAGUGCUCGUAUGAUCGCAUGUGUUACUACAUGCAAUGUAAUCGUAUCUAUUCUUUUUUAAAGACUUUAUGAUCCAUUUGCCGUGGGUCCCACCAGCUAUGUAGGAAUAUCCUAU